GACGAACGCUGGCGGCGUGCUUAACACAUGCAAGUCGAACGGAAAGGUCCGGCCUUUGUGGGGUGCUCGAGUGGCGAACGGGUGAGUAACACGUGAGUAACCUGUCCUUGACUUUGGGAUAUCUUCAGGAAACUGGGGCUAAUACCGGCUAGGAGCUCCUGCUGCAUGGUGGGGGUUGGAAAGUUUCGGCGGUUGGGGAUGGACUCGCGGCUUAUCAGCUUGUUGGUGGGGUAGUGGCUUACCAAGGCUUGGACGGGUAGCCGGGCUGCGAGGAUGACCGGACACGUUGGGACUGGGAUGCGGCCCAGACUCCUACGGGAGGCAGCGGUGGGGUAGAGUAUACAAUGGGAGGGGCCCUGAUGCAGCAACGCCGCGUGGGGGAUGACGGCCAUCGGGUUGUAUUGCGCAGUCGCCUGUGACGAGGCGAUAGUGACAGUAAUGGGUAAAGAAGCACCGGCUAACUACGUG
This 468-nucleotide ribosomal RNA is filed under the name uncultured bacterium. Its description in RNAcentral is "partial 16S ribosomal RNA". It matches the Rfam family "Bacterial small subunit ribosomal RNA", at positions 28 to 507 of the family's 1533-position model. The record is from RNAcentral.